GCUACCAGAGAACGCUCUCAGCCGGCCUUCACAGCCCGCGAACAGAAGUACCAAAGACUGCUAUACUAGAAAGGAUCAAUUCGAAGAAAUCUUCAAGAUCCUAUCAACUAGGCCAUCAACUAUCUCGAGUCUGGUCAACAGGCGCCGGCCCAAGAAUUGGCUGCAUUGCUGAUUACCCUGCUGAACUAAGAUGGCAAGCCUUGGAACUAACUAAUGUUUCACCUAAACCUUCUCCAUCAUCAACUCCUAGACCUUUAGACGCUCUUUGUUCGCCUACUUGUUCUUCCCCAGUUUUCAACAAUGUACUUGUCAAGUCUUCUUGAAUUCGAGUCUUUGUUUUCUUAAAUUCCAUGUUCCUGCUGCAAUAUUACUCUAGCAAAUGUAAAUGCCUUUGUUCUUCAGUUAUUUGUACUUCCUAA
Molecule: unclassified non-coding RNA, 419 nt
Filed under: Hevea brasiliensis (rubber tree)
Lineage: Eukaryota; Viridiplantae; Streptophyta; Magnoliopsida; Malpighiales; Euphorbiaceae
Source: RNAcentral